GCCCAGGUGAUGAAAUGGUAGACAUGCAGUGUUCAGAACGCUGUGCCCGCAAGGGCUUGGGAGUUCGAGUCUCCCCCUGGGCACCA
RNAcentral lists this transfer RNA (86 nucleotides) under Candidatus Levyibacteriota bacterium. RNAcentral's name for it is "tRNA-Leu". It matches the Rfam family "tRNA". From Rfam's summary of the family: Transfer RNA (tRNA) molecules are approximately 80 nucleotides in length. Their secondary structure includes four short double-helical elements and three loops (D, anti-codon, and T loops). The record is from RNAcentral. Lineage: Bacteria; Candidatus Levyibacteriota.